GGCUGGUCCAAAGGUAGUGAGUUAACUCACUUGACUGUUCACAGUCAGUUACAGAUUGAACUCGUUGUUCUACUAGGUAACCCCCCUUCUCACUACUGCACUUGACUCGUAUUUA
Molecule: Y RNA, 115 nt
Filed under: Propithecus coquereli (Coquerel's sifaka)
Lineage: Eukaryota; Metazoa; Chordata; Mammalia; Primates; Indriidae
Description: Y RNA (ENSPCOG00000005133.1)
Rfam family: Y RNA
About the family: Y RNAs are components of the Ro ribonucleoprotein particle (Ro RNP), in association with Ro60 and La proteins. The Y RNAs and Ro60 and La proteins are well conserved, but the function of the Ro RNP is not known.
Source: Rfam by way of RNAcentral